AGUAGGGAAUCUUGCGCAAUGGGCGAAAGCCUGACGCAGCCAUGCCGCGUGAAUGAUGAAGGUCUUAGGAUUGUAAAAUUCUUUCACCGGGGACGAUAAUGACGGUACCCGGAGAAGAAGCUCCGGCUAACUUCGUGCCAGCAGCCGCGGUAAUACGAAGGGGGCUAGCGUUGCUCGGAAUUACUGGGCGUAAAGGGCGCGUAGGCGGACAGUUUAGUCAGAGGUGAAAGCCCAGGGCUCAACCUUGGAAUAGCCUUUGAUACUGGCUGUCUUGAGUACGGGAGAGGUGUGUGGAACUCCGAGUGUAGAGGUGAAAUUCGUAGAUAUUCGGAAGAACACCAGUGGCGAAGGCGACACACUGGCCCGUUACUGACGCUGAGGCGCGAAAGCGUGGGGAGCAAA
Molecule: ribosomal RNA, 402 nt
Filed under: Phenylobacterium falsum
Lineage: Bacteria; Pseudomonadati; Pseudomonadota; Alphaproteobacteria; Caulobacterales; Caulobacteraceae
Description: bacterial SSU rRNA
Rfam family: Bacterial small subunit ribosomal RNA
Source: RNAcentral